Molecule: unclassified non-coding RNA, 147 nt
Filed under: soil metagenome
Description: partial internal transcribed spacer 1
Source: RNAcentral
CCGAGUUUACAACUCCCAAACCCCUGUGAACAUACCUAUACGUUGCCUCGGCGGAUCAGCCCGCGCCCCGUAAAAGGGACGGCCCGCCCGAGGACCCCUAAACUCUGUUUUUAGUGGAACUUCUGAGUAAAACAAACAAAUAUAUCA